Molecule: ribosomal RNA, 441 nt
Filed under: Triticum aestivum (bread wheat)
Lineage: Eukaryota; Viridiplantae; Streptophyta; Magnoliopsida; Poales; Poaceae
Description: partial small subunit ribosomal RNA
Source: RNAcentral
AUGGUUUAUUCAGCAGCGGCGACAGUGGUGUUUUUCUCGCAUGGCUCUGAGGAGGCGUUGUUGCUCUGUUGUGCUUGCUGCAUGAGCUGCUCGAGCCUGGCCUCCAGCUCGGCCUUCUCGGCGCUGAGCCGGUCGUUGUCGCGGCGGACGUCGCCGCAGCUCCUCAUUGCGCGGUUGAGCUCGUCGAGGAGGCGGCGGUUGGCGCCGCGGAGGUGCGCCACCCGCGCCCACAGCUCGCUGAGCUGCCGCUGCUUGCGCAUGCGCGACCGCCUCGCCGACUCGCGGUUGGACACCAUCCUCCGCCGCCUCCGCUCCUCCUCCGCCGCCGAAGCCAGCACCUGGCCAUGGAUGUCAUCACCAGCCCCGCCGGAGCCGGGCGGGCUGUUAUUGCCGAUGGCAGCCAGCGCUUCCUGCAGCAUAGGCUCGUCCUCAUACUCGUAG